ACACUCCUACGGGAGGCAGCAGUGGGGAAUUUUGGACAAUGGGCGAAAGCCUGAUCCAGCCAUGCCGCGUGCAGGAUGAAGGCCUUCGGGUUGUAAACUGCUUUUGUACGGAACGAAACGGCCUUUUCUAAUAAAGAGGGCUAAUGACGGUACCGUAAGAAUAAGCACCGGCUAACUACGUGCCAGCAGCCGCGGUAAUACGUAGGGUGCAAGCGUUAAUCGGAAUUACUGGGCGUAAAGCGUGCGCAGGCGGUUAUGUAAGACAGUUGUGAAAUCCCCGGGCUCAACCUGGGAACUGCAUCUGUGACUGCAUAGCUAGAGUACGGUAGAGGGGGAUGGAAUUCCGCGUGUAGCAGUGAAAUGCGUAGAUAUGCGGAGGAACACCGAUGGCGAAGGCAAUCCCCUGGACCUGUACUGACGCUCAUGCACGAAAGCGUGGGGGGCAAACAGGAUUAGAAACCCCUGUAGUCCCAUG
RNAcentral lists this ribosomal RNA (475 nucleotides) under uncultured organism. RNAcentral's name for it is "partial 16S ribosomal RNA". It matches the Rfam family "Bacterial small subunit ribosomal RNA", at positions 333 to 799 of the family's 1533-position model. The record is from RNAcentral.